This is a long non-coding RNA of Octopus sinensis (East Asian common octopus), 682 nucleotides long. RefSeq lists it as uncharacterized. NCBI's taxonomy places the organism in Eukaryota, Metazoa, Mollusca, Cephalopoda, Octopoda, Octopodidae. The record is from RefSeq and is a predicted model, not a curated record. The transcript is spliced from 3 exons.
UAAUAAAUAGUCCAAAGGAGAGUUUGUUCAAACAUCUAAUCAAGCAAGUUCAAAUUGGAAUGGAUUUGACUCGAAUAACCCUUCCAACAUAUAUUCUAGAGAGAAGGUCGUUGUUGGAAAUGAUUGCAGAUUUUUUUUCUCAUUGUGAUAUAUUUUCCAAGUAGAAUUAAUAUUUGGUGUAUAUUUGAGUAUAACAAACCAUGAUGAUCCUCGUACUCGUAUGGUCGAGGUGGUCAGAGCUUACAUUUCUUGUUUUCAUUACGGGCGAAAUCCUGAAAUUGCUAAAAAACCGUACAACCCUAUUCUUGGAGAGAUUUUUCGUUGUUAUUGGGACCUUGAUGAUGAUAAUUCUGCAGUUGUCAAAAAUGGACCGGUUCCAUGGGCAAAAGAAGGCCAUGUCGCUUUUCUUGCAGAACAAGUCUCUCACCGCCCUCCAGUGAGUGCAUUCUACUUGGAAAAUGUUAAACAAAAAACUUCUAUUGAAGGACAAAUAUGGACAAAUUCAAAGUAUUUGGGACUUUCUGUAGCUGUUCAUAUGGUGGGCUCAGCUGUUAUUAGAUUGGAGAAUCGAGAUGAGACAUAUACUCUCUCUUUUCCUUCAGGAUAUGCUCGUUCAAUUUUUACCGUUCCGUGGUACGAACUAUGCGGAAAAGUUAGAAUUUCUUCAUCCUCAGGAUUUGUG